Molecule: unclassified non-coding RNA, 329 nt
Filed under: soil metagenome
Description: partial contains 5.8S ribosomal RNA, internal transcribed spacer 2, and large subunit ribosomal RNA
Rfam family: 5.8S ribosomal RNA (bases 1-120)
Source: RNAcentral
GAUGAAGAACGUAGCGAAAUGCGAUAAGUAAUGUGAAUUGCAGAAUUCAGUGAAUCAUCGAAUCUUUGAACGCACAUUGCGCCCUCUGGUAUUCCGGGGGGCAUGCCUGUUCGAGCGUCAUUAUAACCACUCAAGCUCUCGCUUGGUAUUGGGGUUCGCGGUUUCGCGGCCCCUAAAAUCAGUGGCGGUGCCUGUCGGCUCUACGCGUAGUAAUACUUCUCGCGAUUGAGUUCGAUAGGUCUACUUGCCAGUAACCCCCAAUUUUUACAGGUUGACCUCGGAUCAGGUAGGGAUACCCGCUGAACUUAGGCAUAUCAAUAAGCGGAGGA